This 408-nucleotide ribosomal RNA is filed under the name uncultured bacterium. RNAcentral describes it as "partial 16S ribosomal RNA". It matches the Rfam family "Bacterial small subunit ribosomal RNA", at positions 28 to 526 of the family's 1533-position model. The record is from RNAcentral.
GACGAACGCUGGCGGCGUGCUUAACACAUGCAAGUCGAACGAAGUGGCGAACGGGUGAGUAACGCGUAAUCAACCUGCCCUUCAGAGGGGGACAACAGUGGGAAACGACUGCUAAUACCGAAUACUGAAGGAGGGGAUUGCGUCGGAUUAGCUAGUUGGAGGGGUAACGGCCCACCAAGGCGAUGAGCAGUAGCCGGGCUGAGAGGCUGAACGGCCACAGUGGGACUGAGACACGGCCCAGACUCCUACGGGAGGCAGCAGGGGGGAAUUGUCCGAAAUGGACGAAAGUCUGACGGAGCCACGCCGCGUGAGUGAUGACGGACUUCGGGUUGUAAAGGUCUGUUAAUCGGGACGCGGUACCGGAAUAGAAAGCCACGGCUAACUACGUGCCAGCAGCCGCGGUAAUUC